AUACGGAGGAUGCAAGCGUUAUCCGGAUUUAUUGGGUUUAACGGGUGCGUAGGCGGAUGAUUAAGCGUGAGGUGAAAUGCCACUGCUCAACAGUGGAACUGCCUCGCGAACUGGUUGUCUUGAAUGCUCCUGCCGUGGGAGGAAUGUGUGGUGUAGCGGUGAAAUGCAUAGAGAUCACACAGAACACCGAUUGCGAAGGCAUCUCACGAAGGGGUGAUUGACGCUGAGGCACGAAAGCGUGGGGAUCAAACAGGAUUAGAUACCCUGGUAGUCCACGCAGUAAACGAUGAUAACUAACCGCUGGGUCGUAGUGAUUCAGUGGCCAAGCGAAAGCGAUAAGUUAUCCACCUGGGGAGUACGACCGCAAGGUUGAAACUCAAAGGAAUUGACGGGG
This 394-nucleotide ribosomal RNA is filed under the name uncultured bacterium. RNAcentral's name for it is "partial 16S ribosomal RNA". It matches the Rfam family "Bacterial small subunit ribosomal RNA", at positions 523 to 918 of the family's 1533-position model. The record is from RNAcentral.